CGGGCGACGCAGGCGUUCUGGUCAGCGACGCGGCCUCCCCGCCGCCCUCGGGCUGUGACGUUCCGGGAAGCCGGCCUUCCGGAGGCGGCGCAGCGGUGCCAAGGGCGCAGGGAGCGGCCAGGCGCAGCAGGCGGCCGCGCGGCGGGGUGCCCGGCCAGGCGCUUCCAGGCGGCGCUGCAGGGUUAAAGCCCAGAAAGGGCCGGGCUGAACGUGUCCUCAGACUGGGAGGUGUCAGACUCCGAUCCUCCUCAUUGCCCCCGCAAGUAUAUCCGGAGGAUUCCUCCAAUCGCUCUCUCCUGGAAGACCACUCCCAGCACCCUACUAGAUGGAGACAUUGAGGCUCCAGGAGAGGAAGCCACUGCCCCAGGAGCCUAGAUCUGUUGGUUCUUUGCCUCUGCAUCACCUAGUUUCAAAUGACCCAAGCCACCUCCUGCCUCCUGGCCCUUGGGCAUCUUCCCUCCCCUGCUUCAGACCCUGGACCCUUCAGCCGCAGAGCCCAGGGGGUCCCUGUCCCUGUCCCUGUCCUGGGACACCACGCUCAGAUACCCUGGGUGGCUAAAGGAAGCAGGGCUUGGGGCUUUCUGCAGGAACAGCCAUCACACCCCAGAGCUUUCCUAGAGUGGUCGUAGGCUGAGUAGUACCUCCUCCACACCCACCCUGAACACACACACACCCAAACAGGCUGCAGGGUGUGGUUUGGAUAAAAGGAAGACAUGGCUCAAGGUUCCAGGCUCCCUGCUGGUUUUUCAAGGCAAUGAGCUGCCCCUCCCUAUGAGUAUGCCAGCACAAGCUCAUGACCCUGUCCAGCCACAGUGCCCCAGGGGUCCCUGCAGCCACCUUGCUUCUUGCCCAGAACUCAAUUCCAGCCUUCGAGGGACUCAGAGAGCGGGGAUGUUUCUCAGGGAUCUCCCAGUGGAAAUGCUGUCAGCAGCGGCCAUCAGUGGAUGAGGCUCCCCUCCCCCGGGGCUUCCUACUUCAGACUCAGACUCCCAUGUGGCAGAGGAGGGGGGUCCCCUCCCCACUGCACAGUGAGCCACACCGGGCCAUGGACUUGAGGUUCGCCUCCCUUCCCACCCAUCCCCUGCUUGACUGACACCCUUCUGCCUGGAGCAUCAUGGGAAUUAAGGAGUAGGCCACUGCCCUGCCCCUCAGAGAAGAGAGGGGAUCCGAAGAGGAGCUAAGGGCUCCCCGUGGCAUGGCCAUCUCUGGCCCAGGGGAUCUGGGGAAGGUGUGGGUGUGGAGAGUUAGCGGAAGGCACAGUAACUCUGGUUGGUGUGACCCCAAGCGUGAUAGUGGGUUUGGGGGCGUGGCUGGCCCUAUGAGCUCAUGGCCUCAGAGGACAGAGACGGCCCCUCCCCUCCAGCUCCAGGGAGGGUGGGAUGGGGUGCAGCUUCCUGUCAAGGACAGACAUGGUCUGAGAGGACCCCAGUCCCUGCCUGGAAGCAAACACUGGUCAGACAGAUACAAGGGACAUUUAGACAACAAAGCCAGCCAUGCUACCAUGAGGACUCAGCCCUCAGCCCUCACCGAGGACAAACCAUGUGGUCAUGGCCACCAGAGAGGAGUGAGGGGAGGAAAGGUGGGGAACUCCAUCUCCAAACUUGGCAUGGUCUCAGCGUUGUCGGAGGACUUUGAGGGAAGGAGGAGGAGAGAAGGACGACGACGACGACGGCCAACGACGACGACAACGCAGGGUGUGUGCUGCGCUGCGGCCCUUGCCUCUGCCCUGCCACUGGCUCCCUGUUGCAGUGCCUGGUCUCCCGCCCUGCCUCUCCCAUCCCUACCCGCAGCCCCAUCCUGCCCAUCUGCGAGGAGCUGUCCCAUAUGUGUGUCCCCUCCACCCGAUCCCAUUCUCCUUCCCUGUUGGUCAGGGCCCAGGUGCUCCUGCUGCCCCAAGGAGCCCGGCGGCAGGAGGCAUGGACGUGGGGGCUGUCGGGCUGGUCUCGAGUGCUCUGGCGCAGCAGGCCUCGGGGUGGGAAGACCUCGCUGCUGCCCCUCGAGAGGGCCCCGCCUUGGUGAGUGCAGCCUGGAGAUGAAGCUGAGGACAGAGGCCACACUGCACCCCCAGCCCAGCCCUGCCCUGCACUGCACCCCUCACACCUUGCCCUCCUUGACAUCCGCCUCUUUGGGGAACCCUCCCUGGCCAGGUUCCCACCAGAAGACCCCCCAAGGCCAGGCCUCAGGCCUCCCCUUCAAGACUGACAGUCUCCCAGGGCCUGUGACAGCCAAGCCCCACUACGCUGUGGCCUCUCAUUGCCCACAACUGCACCAAGAGUUCAGCUCUCUGAGGUGGCCAGGUGCCCCCUGCUAGGGGGCCCUCCCACGGCCCUAGUGCCCGGAACAGUCCCUUUCUCCAAAAUAAAUAUUUUUGUUAGACCAGCAA
Molecule: long non-coding RNA, 2383 nt
Filed under: Heterocephalus glaber (naked mole-rat)
Lineage: Eukaryota; Metazoa; Chordata; Mammalia; Rodentia; Bathyergidae
Description: lncRNA (ENSHGLG00100043204.1)
Source: RNAcentral